Poecilia reticulata (guppy) is the source of this 214-nucleotide long non-coding RNA. RefSeq lists it as uncharacterized. The record is from RefSeq and is a predicted model, not a curated record. NCBI's taxonomy places the organism in Eukaryota, Metazoa, Chordata, Actinopteri, Cyprinodontiformes, Poeciliidae.
CGAAGAAGAAGUUGGCCAGUUCUCUGCUCCAGUAACCUGGGUUUUCUGUGUUUUAAAGGGAGAGGAGAAAAAUCUCAAGUCUCAGGAAACAGAAGCUCAGUCAGGGUUGAGAAAUCCCUAAAUCUCCUGUGGUGUUUUGCUUGGUGGAACCGAGRACAAAGCUUGGAGAUGAUAUUUUCCAAUCUUCCGAGCUUCUGCCUGACUGACCCCACUC